AAAACUUUCAACAACGGAUCUCUUGGUUCUGGCAUCGAUGAAGAACGCAGCGAAAUGCGAUAAGUAAUGUGAAUUGCAGAAUUCAGUGAAUCAUCGAAUCUUUGAACGCACCUUGCGCCCUCCGGUAUCCCGGUGGGCAUAGCCUGUUCGAGCGUCAAAU
RNAcentral lists this ribosomal RNA (160 nucleotides) under Dendrographa alectoroides f. alectoroides. RNAcentral's name for it is "5.8S ribosomal RNA". It matches the Rfam family "5.8S ribosomal RNA". Rfam says of the family: 5.8S ribosomal RNA (5.8S rRNA) is a component of the large subunit of the eukaryotic ribosome. It is transcribed by RNA polymerase I as part of the 45S precursor that also contains 18S and 28S rRNA. The record is from RNAcentral. Lineage: Eukaryota; Fungi; Ascomycota; Arthoniomycetes; Arthoniales; Roccellaceae.